GCAGUGUUUAAGACACGCAUGUGGAGGCAGGAGCAGGAGAGUGCAGUGACCAAGUGUCUUGUUUCACAGAACUUCCCAUGCCAUCCUAACAAGUGCAGGAUGUCAUUUUUUCCUGUAUCUUAGGCCAAUGGUACAUAUUUUUCUCUCUUUAUCGGCCUUUCUCACUGGUUUGUUUUGCUUGCAUACUAUGCCUCAUAGUAUUAUGACGCUGACCAACACUGGGAAGAAAAGCUCAAGCAGUCUGCACCGCAUGUACCAAACCUUCUGAUGAUCUCAUCUAAUUGUUCUUUAAAAAAAGCACAACAAAACGUGAAAUUGUUGUGACUCAAGAAAAAGAAGAAACUGCUUUGGAGUCUCCUCACUAUUGAUUCUGCUGUCAGUGUGAAUUCCCUGCACCCCUGUGAUCCGGAGAUUCGCUUCGGCUCCUCUGCAAGUUAAAGAUGCCAUUUGUUUGCUCUCAAAGAUGAAUGCAAUGUCACAUCCCUUCCCUCCGAGGCUGUGGUGCUCCCCCAGCACCGUGGCGUUUCGUGCUGGCGUUGCUCACUGCGGGCUGCCGGUGUUGCUGCGGACAGAUAUGCGUGCAGAUCGAUGGGCGAGCAGCCAGCCCUGCUUGUGCUGAUGUAGUGCUCAGGAGCACCCUCCCCAGAUUUUAAUCCUCUGUGGCUAACUUUUCCUGUUCCUCUGUGGCAAUGCCAGAUAUGCCUGCUAUGACUUGAGGAGGUGGUACUCUUCCUGUUGCACAGAGAACAAAGUCUUUCUGGACUGAGCCGUGGUUCAGUUUUGUCAUCUGUUCUUAAGCUGAACCAUCACCACUUCAUGUUUUUUUUUUUUUUUUUAAUGUGGCAAGUUCAGUAAGAAUUGGGUAACAUGUGACUAAUCUCUAUACCCCAUUUAAAAUCCAUUCGAAAUAG
Molecule: long non-coding RNA, 911 nt
Organism: Gallus gallus (chicken)
Lineage: Eukaryota; Metazoa; Chordata; Aves; Galliformes; Phasianidae
Exons: 2
Source: RefSeq, a predicted model, not a curated record